Molecule: ribosomal RNA, 433 nt
Filed under: uncultured bacterium
Lineage: Bacteria
Description: partial 16S ribosomal RNA
Rfam family: Bacterial small subunit ribosomal RNA
Source: RNAcentral
AGCGAACGCUGGCGGCAGGCUUAACACAUGCCAGUCGAGCGGGCACUUCGGUGUCAGCGGCAGACGGGUGAGUAACACGUGGGAACGUACCCUUCGGUUCGGAAUAACGCUGGGAAACUAGCGCUAAUACCGGAUACGCCCUUUUGGGGGAAGGUUUACUGACGAAGGAUCGGCCCGCGUCUGAUUAGCUAGUUGGUUGGGUAAUGGCCUACUAAGGCGCCGAUCAGUAGCUGGUCUGAGAGGAUGAUCAGCCACACUGGGACUGAGACACGGCCCAGACUCCUACGGGAGGCAGCAGUGGGGAAUAUUGGACAAUGGGGGCAAGCCUGAUCCAGCCAUGCCGCGUGAGUGAUGAAGGCCUUAGGGUUGUAAAGCUCUUUUGUCCGGGACGAUAAUGACGGUACCGGAAGAAUAAGCCCCGGCUAACUUCGUG